GACGAGCGCUGGCGGCGUGCCUAAUACAUGCAAGUCGAACGCUUCUUUUUCCACCGGAGCUUGCUCCAUCGGAAAAAGAGGAGUGGCGAACGGGUGAGUAACACGUGGGUAACCUGCCCAUCAGAAGGGGAUAACACUUGGAAACAGGUGCUAAUACCGUAUAACAAUCGAAACCGCAUGGUUUUGAUUUGAAAGGCGCUUUCGGGUGUCGCUGAUGGAUGGACCCGCGGUGCAUUAGCUAGUUGGUGAGGUAACGGCUAACCAAGGCGACGAUGCAUAGCCGACCUGAGAGGGUGAUCGGCCACAUUGGGACUGAGACACGGCCCAAACUCCUACGGGAGGCAGCAGUAGGGAAUCUUCGGCAAUGGACGAAAGUCUGACCGAGCAACGCCGCGUGAGUGAAGAAGGUUUUCGGAUCGUAAAACUCUGUUGUUAGAGAAGAACAAGGAUGAGAGUAACUGUUCAUCCCUUGACGGUAUCUAACCAGAAAGCCACGGCUAACUACGUGCCAGCAGCCGCCGUAA
Molecule: ribosomal RNA, 524 nt
Filed under: uncultured bacterium
Lineage: Bacteria
Description: partial 16S ribosomal RNA
Rfam family: Bacterial small subunit ribosomal RNA
Source: RNAcentral